This 82-nucleotide small nucleolar RNA is filed under the name Staphylococcus aureus subsp. aureus CO-08. The record is from RNAcentral. Lineage: Bacteria; Bacillati; Bacillota; Bacilli; Caryophanales; Staphylococcaceae.
UAUAAUGAAGAGGCUGGGACAUAAAUCCCUAAAAAAACAGCAGUAAGAUAAUUUUCAAUUAGAAAAUAUCUUACUGCUGUUC